Molecule: transfer RNA, 73 nt
Filed under: Palmaria palmata (dulse)
Lineage: Eukaryota; Rhodophyta; Florideophyceae; Palmariales; Palmariaceae
Also listed under: 3 other names
Description: tRNA-Phe
Rfam family: tRNA
About the family: Transfer RNA (tRNA) molecules are approximately 80 nucleotides in length. Their secondary structure includes four short double-helical elements and three loops (D, anti-codon, and T loops).
Source: RNAcentral
GCCGAGAUAGCUCAGUCGGUAGAGCAGUGGAUUGAAAAUCCUCGUGUCACCAGUUCAAGCCUGGUUCUUGGCA